This 1407-nucleotide long non-coding RNA is filed under the name Fragaria vesca (wild strawberry). Its description in RNAcentral is "long non-coding RNA (FVES_LNC002653)". Lineage: Eukaryota; Viridiplantae; Streptophyta; Magnoliopsida; Rosales; Rosaceae. The record is from RNAcentral.
UUAUAUAUUUUGAAGGAAUCCUAUAUAUUUGAUUACAUUUAUUAUUUUGUGACCUCAUUAAGUUAGUUCCAGGUUUUAGCUCCAUUAUGAAGGAACCGGAUAUAUUUGGUUACAGACUUACGGGUGUGAUCUGGUGAUCUCAUUUAAAUGCCGUUUGGUUGUUUUAAUUUGUGUGCAAUUUUGCUUACUACUCGGUUCUUCAAUCUCAUGAAGUUUUGUUUCUAUUUUUUGUUUUCAUCUGGCGGAGUAGGCACCAUUUGAGGCUCUAAGAUGCAUAACUGCACGCAGGAAGCAAACGGCGCAUUAAGGUGGUAAAGGUAACUCUAAUUUCUCUAUACGCUUCGACAUAGAUGGUUUGUCCAAAACAGAUGGUUUUUCAAAAACUAUCCAAACUGAAUAUCAAUAUAAUGAUAGUGAUACAGGCUGAAAAUUUAUUGGUUAAUGGCUAAUUACUUAUAUGAACCUAGUUAUGCAUUUUGUAAUUCUAUAGCUUGUGGGGAAACAAUUGUCUAUAUAUGUAGCAGCUGCAUUCUAUUCUACUACUGAAUUGCGGAAGAAUGUUGUUAUGGAUUAUAUGGUGACCUUCAACAAAUUCGCUGUUCCAUUUUUAGUUAGGGUUUUUGUAUAAAUUGGAUUAUGAUUAUGGGUUUUUUUUAUUGCCCUUAGAGUAUCAGCUAUAUUCGCUGUUCCAUUUUUAGUUAGGGUUUUGUAUAAAUUGGAUUCUGAUUAUGGGUUUUCUUAGGUGAAGAGGACUAGAGAGGUUUUGGAUUUGGUUGGCUCUGGAAGAUAGUGACUUGGUCUCUUUUUGAGGUCUUGGUAAUCCUUUCAAUUUUCCCUUGAUUUCAUUUUUAAUGUCUGCGGAUUUGAGCUGGUCCUUUUUUUCUUUGCUUUUCAGUUGGGGUUCGGAUUUUGUUUUUCUUUGAAGUUGAUUUUCCUUUCAUUUUCUUCUUCUCUUUUGUUCAUGCUAAUUAAUGAAGAGUUCUGCUGUGUGUGUAAUUACAAGUUGGUGGUAUUGGGAAUCCUCUUUGAUUUGAAGCCAAAAAGAUUCAGUAGGUAUUCCACUGCUCAUGUAUUUUAUGCAUAUGGCCACAGUUCUAAUUGAAAAUCAUGUAUGUCUAUUUGCUUCAGAUUCCUUAAUAAUUAUGUUUUUGAUUAAUUGCACAUUUUGUUUUUUAUGUAGUUCUAGAUUCAGACUUGUUUUUUCUCUUUGCAGCUAUUCUAAAAUGUAUGUCUUUUCUUUCAAUUUUGCCUACAAUGUUAUUGUUUCUUUGUGGCUCAGCUCAGCUUUAUGAUUUGAAUGGUGUGUUUUACAGUGUUACCAUACUCAAUUGGCUUAUCAUCAUUCUUUGCACUCCAUGUGCUUAUGCAAUAACAGAAUUGAGUAGUUGAUCCUUUCCCAAUCUACAG